This 748-nucleotide ribosomal RNA is filed under the name uncultured Flavobacteriales bacterium. Its description in RNAcentral is "bacterial SSU rRNA". It matches the Rfam family "Bacterial small subunit ribosomal RNA", at positions 35 to 783 of the family's 1533-position model. The record is from RNAcentral. Lineage: Bacteria; Pseudomonadati; Bacteroidota; Flavobacteriia; Flavobacteriales.
GCUAGCGGCAGGCUUACACAUGCAAGUCGAGGGGUAUAGGAAGCUUGCUUCCUAGAGACCGGCGCACGGGUGCGUAACGCGUAUGCAAUCUGCCUUUCACAAAGGGAUAGCCCAGAGAAAUUUGGAUUAAUACCUUAUAGUAUUAAGUUUUGGCAUCAAGAUUUAAUUAAAGAUUUAUCGGUGAAAGAUGAGCAUGCGUCCCAUUAGUUAGUUGGUAAGGUAACGGCUUACCAAGACUACGAUGGGUAGGGGUCCUGAGAGGGAGAUCCCCCACACUGGUACUGAGACACGGACCAGACUCCUACGGGAGGCAGCAGUGAGGAAUAUUGGACAAUGGGCGCAAGCCUGAUCCAGCCAUGCCGCGUGCAGGAUGAAGCAUCUAUGGUGUGUAAACUGCUUUUAUACAGGAAGAAACCCUGGCUCGUGAGCCAGAUUGACGGUACUGUAAGAAUAAGGACCGGCUAACUCCGUGCCAGCAGCCGCGGUAAUACGGAGGGUCCAAGCGUUAUCCGGAAUCAUUGGGUUUAAAGGGUCCGUAGGCGGGCUUGUAAGUCAGCGGUGAAAUCUCCCGGCUCGACCGGGAAAUGGCCGUUGAUACUGCUAGUCUUGAAUUAGUAGGAAGUAACUAGAAUAUGUAGUGUAGCGGUGAAAUGCUUAGAGAUUACAUGGAAUACCAAUUGCGAAGGCAGGUUACUACUACUAUAUUGACGCUGAUGGACGGAAGCGUGGGUAGCGAACAGGAUUAGAU